AGCGAACGCUGGCGGCAGGCCUAACACAUGCAAGUCGAACGAACUCUUCGGAGUUAGUGGCGGACGGGUGAGUAACACGUGGGAACGUGCCUUUAGGUUCGGAAUAACUCAGGGAAACUUGUGCUAAUACCGAAUGUGCCCUUCGGGGGAAAGAUUUAUCGCCUUUAGAGCGGCCCGCGUCUGAUUAGCUAGUUGGUGAGGUAAAGGCUCACCAAGGCGACGAUCAGUAGCUGGUCUGAGAGGAUGAUCAGCGACAUUGGGACUGAGACCCGGCCCAAACUCCUACGGGAGGCAGCAGUGGGGAAUCGUGCGCAAUGGGGGAAAGGCUGACGCAGCCAUGCCGCGUGAAUGAUGAAGGUCUUAGGAUUGUAAAAUUCUUUCACCGGGGACGAUAAUGACGGUACCCGGAGAAGAAGCCCCGGCUAACUUCGUG
Molecule: ribosomal RNA, 433 nt
Filed under: uncultured bacterium
Lineage: Bacteria
Description: partial 16S ribosomal RNA
Rfam family: Bacterial small subunit ribosomal RNA
Source: RNAcentral